CUUACUUCACUGUGAUGUUUGCUUUGAUAUUUUUUCUUCCCAAUUUUCAUGCUAUUGCUCUCUUCAAAUCUUUGAGAUUCAGCCUAACUUUGAUGAAUAUAGAAGCGUAUGUUUAGGGAGGGUGAGUGCUAGCAUCUUUAACAAUGGAGAGAGGUAUUUUGGCGAGCAGCUCAGAGGGAGUUUAUACAACAAUCACUGGGUUAAUCAGUUGUUAAGAAGUUUGAAACCGGAGAAGGAGGAGAGCAAGAUCAAACCCGAG
This is a long non-coding RNA of Solanum verrucosum, 259 nucleotides long. RefSeq lists it as uncharacterized. The record is from RefSeq and is a predicted model, not a curated record. NCBI's taxonomy places the organism in Eukaryota, Viridiplantae, Streptophyta, Magnoliopsida, Solanales, Solanaceae. The transcript is spliced from 2 exons.